CAGUAGCCGCGGUAAUACAGAGGGUGCGAGCGUUAAUCGGAUUUACUGGGCGUAAAGCGUGCGUAGGCGGCUUUUUAAGUCGGAUGUGAAAUCCCUGAGCUUAACUUAGGAAUUGCAUUCGAUACUGGGAAGCUAGAGUAUGGGAGAGGAUGGUAGAAUUCCAGGUGUAGCGGUGAAAUGCGUAGAGAUCUGGAGGAAUACCGAUGGCGAAGGCAGCCAUCUGGCCUAACACUGACGCUGAGGUACGAAAGCAUGGGGAGCAAACAGGAUUAGAGACCCCUGUAGUCCCUGUCUCUUAUAA
This 301-nucleotide ribosomal RNA is filed under the name uncultured bacterium. RNAcentral's name for it is "partial 16S ribosomal RNA". It matches the Rfam family "Bacterial small subunit ribosomal RNA", at positions 509 to 809 of the family's 1533-position model. The record is from RNAcentral.